Molecule: ribosomal RNA, 253 nt
Filed under: uncultured bacterium
Lineage: Bacteria
Description: partial 16S ribosomal RNA
Rfam family: Bacterial small subunit ribosomal RNA
Source: RNAcentral
UACGAAGGGGGCUAGCGUUGCUCGGAAUCACUGGGCGUAAAGCGCACGUAGGCGGACUCUUAAGUCGGUGGUGAAAUCCUGGAGCUCAACUCCAGAACUGCCUUCGAUACUGAGAGUCUCGAGUCCGGGAGAGGUGAGUGGAACUGCGAGUGUAGAGGUGAAAUUCGUAGAUAUUCGCAAGAACACCAGUGGCGAAGGCGGCUCACUGGACCACAACUGACGCUGAUGCACGAAAGCUAGGGGAGCAAACAGG